UCUCAGUCAGUAGAGGAUGAGACUCUUGAUCUCAGGGUUGUGGGUUCGAGCCCCAU
This 56-nucleotide transfer RNA is filed under the name Heterocephalus glaber (naked mole-rat). It matches the Rfam family "tRNA", at positions 10 to 63 of the family's 71-position model. Rfam says of the family: Transfer RNA (tRNA) molecules are approximately 80 nucleotides in length. The record is from Rfam by way of RNAcentral. Lineage: Eukaryota; Metazoa; Chordata; Mammalia; Rodentia; Bathyergidae.